Long non-coding RNA from Betta splendens (Siamese fighting fish), 7911 nucleotides. RefSeq lists it as uncharacterized. The transcript is spliced from 3 exons. The record is from RefSeq and is a predicted model, not a curated record. NCBI's taxonomy places the organism in Eukaryota, Metazoa, Chordata, Actinopteri, Anabantiformes, Osphronemidae.
AGAGGCACCUGGAGCUCAGUGACUCUCCUGUCUCAGAACAAACACAAACGCUGCAGUGAUUGACACUGAGCCACAGGAGAUGCAUGCUGAAAAACCUUGACAAUGGCAAAUGCGGCGUUCAGCAUUCAGGCAGAUGUAGAAAGUUUGCUGAAGUAACUUGAUGCGGUGGGGUAAAAGGUGGAUAUCCCACAAUGCUGCCGCCCGCCACCUCCCAUUGUCUUGAUAGGGGAGCAAGAGAUGUACAGCGGCCUCAAAUGGAGGUGGCAUCUGGUGCCCAAUUUGUCAUGCCUGAAUUACCCAGGAGCUGAUAAAGGCUGAAGUUUUAAUAAAAGUUGGGAGCAGCUGAUAGCAGGGUGAAGGACACUGAUGAAGUGUCUGGGGGCCUAUUUCUAGCUGGAGAUAAGAACCUACAGAGAGAGGUGGGUCGAGGGUCUAGCGCAGUGUGAUAAUGCGCUGAUGCCGAGGAAAAAAUAAAAAGUGCCGUUGAAAUGCAACGCAGCACACAUAAUGGAAAAAAUAAUAAAUAAGCAAAUAAAUAAUGAUGAUGAUCUAAACGAGGAGAAGCCAGGGUGGAGGCUGUGGAGUCCUGAAGCGUCUCUGCCUGUAAUUUGGCCACCUGCCAGCAGCCAUUGCUCACCCUCAGCUGCGACGGCAAGCUCCAGAUGUGCCAACGGCACGUUUUGGAUUUUGCCAGCUGACUGCACCGUUUGAUAGCCCGCUCUCUGGAUGCCCAUCACCGGCCGCAGAGAUAGAAUUAAAUGAUGAUGAUCUUCCCACAAGUUGGGUGAGGAAACAACGCAUAUAAAUCUUGAUUUCAUCUCAGCGUGAGAAGUCUUUAUCCAUCAUCACUCUUAAUGAACAAGUCAUUAGCCGCGAUGAAUGGCGCUCUGGGCUCCGGCUCGCCACUGCUGCUUUUGUUUGCAGCUUUCGGGGGCAACUUCCUGUGCCCUUUAAGAGGGUCAAACUCAUUUCUCCAGAUGUGGGGUAACCUCUCUGCUCCCGGGGGCGGCAGCACACCCGUGCGCUAAACAGGGCCGGGAAAAAUGAGGCUACGCCGCGGGUCUCCCAGCUUUCGCCCCAUUGUCUGCUCCUCGGCGAGCCGCCGCAUGCCCCGUCAUCCUGAGAAGCAUAUUAGCCAACUCGGUGGCUGCCUAUUAUGGUAAUCGUGUGUGCACAACUCUCCACUUGAUGCGAGCUCGCUGUGUAAACAGGGAAAAAGGCUUUUUGUUGUUGUACUGUAAUAGAAAUACGCUGGGGAGAAGCGAAUCCAUGCCGCGCUGUGUGAUUCUAAUAUAUACUGUACCUCCAACACCGCGGCUGGAUUUCUUCUACAUCUGCAAACUUGAUUAGUGUUUUAUCUAAACUAAUAAACCCCGUUUCCCAUGAAUGAGCCGUUCCCUUCCUCGGAGCCUUCGUUUUUAUUUACAGUCGCCGUACUAAAAGCAUUGUUAAAGAAUUUAACAGUGCACCGUUUACCCCGAGGCUACGACAAUCUAAACCACCAACAUAAAAGUUGGAUGAAACCGUUGUGAUCUUCUUCUCCUCCCUCCUCCUCUGAAGUACAAGGGGGCGCUUGAAAUAUGAAACGCGGCGAGCAUCAAUCCAACAGUUACGGCGGCGAACGCGACAAGAUAAAGGUUGACACGAGAUAAUUGAAAAUAUCUGGCGCUAAUACGCCAGAGUCGCUGUUUGUAUUUGAACAUAAAGGAGGAGAGUGGCAUGUGACUUUCCUUGUUAGUGACAGCUGCCAUGUUCCCCAGUCUGCAGGGACGCACUGUACCGCAGGAUUCGUCUGACUCGUACAGUGUGUGUGAAGUUCCCCAAAUCCCCCCGAGACACAUCUUUACAUGUCUGAUGAUUUUCCUGAAGAGAGGUCCCAGUUAAAUAUUGUCAGAAGUUUGGCACUUUGAAUUCCCUAAACGUUCAAGUCCCACAAAUAACACAGAGACCAAACACAUGGCGAACGCUGCUGUUUUGCCCAUGGGAUCGUUUCUGCUCCUUUAAGACGUUAUAAUUUUAGUUUGUAACGGCAACGCGGCCCAUGACGAAUGCUACCACUGCACUGUGGUUUUCUAGUGAUCAGUCUAAUGCUUCAGUUGAUGAAAUAGAAAUUUACUGAUGUUGUGGAUACGCACCAUAUUUAUCUCUGUUUCCAGUUUCAACACGCGCUCAGUAUAGGGGCAGAAGUGAAAUACCCAUUACUGCAUGUGUCAGUGUCAUAAACAAUGGCGUGGACUCCUCGCAAGAAGGCAGGGUGGUAAUGGAGGCAGUGCAUCAAUGUUCAGCACAAGGUCUGCAAUUCACACCAGGAGAACACUCACCUGAGCAUCAGGAAUGCUGGGAGGAGACGGCAUUAGCGGCAGCAGAUGUGCAGAAGAGGAGCGGCUUGUAAAGCCAGCUCUGUACACGAACACCCCAAAGAGACCGGAGGGAAGGCUUGUAAACACCUCUAGUGGUAACCUGCCGAGUGGAGGGACAUUCAGGAGAAACCUCGCACUGGAUAAAGUUUAGCUUAUUUUUUUGCAGAUAUGAAAAAAAUGAAGAAUAAGGGAACUAGAAGACAGAUGCAUCAAUGCAUCAUAUGGAUCUCUGAAACCUUGUCUGCAUCCUGACUGCAACCACAAAGCACUGUUUGAAUCACCGUGUUGAUCACAUGGUGUCAAACAAAAUGGAGGUGAGCUCUUGUCCUCAGCCGUCUGUAGUGGAGAUUUACUCUUAUCUGAAAAAUAAAUACAGUAUGAUAAAGAUACUAUAAAGAUACUAAAGGUCUAUCAUCAACAGCCAGAAACUUAACAACAGCUCCAAUUAUGAACUGCUGUGAAAGUCUUUAACUCUUUAGUGGCUGACGUGAACUAAUUACAUCAGUGCACAGUAACCUAUGGUGCCACACUGUAGUUGUCAGUGGCACAGCUUCGCUUUAGCACAACGCUCAAUGCAGGAGCGGACAGGCACAUGCAGAGGCAGCAAAAACGAGGUGUCCCGGCGUCCUUGUUUGAUUCACUUAGGCUCUGCGUGAGAGCUUGACAGCAUGCUGCCAGCUCGCUGGGCCCCGCGCUCCACUUCGGCCAUCUUGUCACUCUUCUACUCCACUGGUCAUAUCAGCGACCUGCGCCCAGUGUCCUUCGGGUUUGUUCGGUGCUGAGCACAAUAUUUCCCCAACGGACUGCCCUCGGCCACAGUGCCUCCCAGGGGAGCCAGACUCUCGGAUGAGGUUGGCCAGUUUUUCCAGUGUGGGCUGCAGUAAUAUGUUUCAGGUCGUCUUAGUCUCCACAACCCUACUGCUCCCUGUUGAUCUGAGCGAAAAAGCAUCUAAUCUCCCCGUGCAGAGUGAUCAUUUGACUGGAAGGUGUCCUGCUGACUUCCUCCUCUGUCUCUGGUGCUGCAUUGUCUUUUAACCGUGCAGUAUUUCUGCAUCUGUGCUUGUGCAGCAGAAACCUCCUGUCUAACAGGAGCAAAUGAUCACAACCCUUUACUUUGUUGGCGCACAGUACAGUAAAAAAACACAACUACAACAAACAGUACAGCUCCUCGGGCCAAAGUAGAGCGCUAUAAAACCUAAGCAAUUAGCUGGAAUAUGCUAAGAUGACCUGCACAGAGCAGAGCGGCUGCAGCUGGGCUAUGAUUCUCAAAUAGAAAUACUGUAGUGCAGUGUUGCGCGUAGGAAUGUUCUUCCCUCGAUAAAAGACACUGGGACCAGGACUUGGACGUCACAUUGGCCCCAAGCUGGGUUUUUUUCUGCAUCCCACAAAACCGUUAUUACUCUGGUUUAGGGUGAACAUAAUGCAGCUGGUGAUGGGAUGACGGGAGCCGGUGGAGGGGAAGGCAGCGCAACGCGGUGAUGACUGGGGCCUUGUCAGUAAUUCAGCAGAUCAGGUGACACUUCAAUAGUCGAGGCCAGAGUGUGGGGAAGAAUUUGAAAAUUGAGUUGACAACGCCAACGCUAAAGGCGUUAUGGUCGCUGCUAUUGGCCCUUAAAUGGCUGGUGAUUCUGUUGUUGAGUAAUGUGCUUGUGAUGUAUUGUCCUACGAAGCCACAAUAUUACGUCUUAUACGUAAAAGUUCUAACUGGAUAUAGUCUAAAUGUCAGCGCGCAGCUUGGCGUGUGUAGCGCGAUAAACGCUAACGUUGGGUUAAUUCUUAAAAAAACAUUUUUUUUUUACUCUUUAAGACGAUCAAAGAGCGAAAUUGCGCAAAGAUUAUAAACCAGCGGUGAUGCAAUAUGUUUUUCAGAGGUGUGAAUUUGCUGGGAAUUAAACAAAAGCAGCUGCGGCCUAGCGUUAGCGCUGCGCUAGACGCUGUCAACGUUCCUGGGCAAAGUGUUAUUUCUCACCCUCGCAGCUCCGUCUGAUUUAAAAUGGUUUGGAGGAACAGUCUCCAAAUCCGCCUUGAGCGGAUUACAGCCGAGGUUGGAAAAACUUGGGGCAAUUUCAUGUGCUCGCUAAAUUGCAUAGAUAUCAGUGAGUCAGAGGCACAUAAUGCUGUGAAGCUCCCUUUCUCUUUUUUUUCUGUGACUUUGUUGCCACCUUCUAAAACAUAGUCUCUAUAUAAAGUGUCGUUUGUUGCUAAUAGGAAAUGUGCAUGAAUUUAACACGCUGCUGUGUGUUUAUGCCUGAACCCCCCCCGUGCUGUGGCGACGGAGCUGUGCAGAGUCUGAGAAGGAAAGGUUUUCUAAAGGAAUUGCGUCAGCUUCUGAAGAAUGCUCUUCAUGCUCCCAAACUCGGCUCUUUAACACACAUUUCAGAGGAGGCCUGUCAGCUUAUGGCAUAUUAGCUGGAUGGGCCUGUUCCCCAUGGGACAUGAGAGGCUAGCUUGGAGGGAUCCCAGGGAAGAAAUGGAAGACGCGCGAUGUGAAAUCCUUUUCUCUGUCAUUCCAAUUCGGCACAAUAAAAAUCAAACGCGCCUCGGCCACAGUCCACAGCUUCACCUAGAGUUUUCCACAGCGCGGGAACCGCUCUCACUCACUAUCCAGCUGCUGUCUGCUUUCAUUUAGACAUAAUUAAACAAUGGACUCUAAUUGGGAAAUAAGCAUUUUUCUGCACAGCAGUCGCCCAUAAAUUGCAUUGUAUGUUAUUUUUUGUGUUAUUUUUAUCCUAAUAGUCUAAAUGUUUUCUAACUUUGGGUUGUUUUUUCUUCCUCCCUGUUUUCUCUCGGAGCUGCACAUUUCAGCAGAUGGAAGUACACAUUCAGCAAAAGGAUUCAUCCAGACCUCUCAGACUGACACCAGCAUCAUUACUGGAGCUGUGAAGGAAGGGAAGUGAAUUGGUCUAUCAGCCUUUCAACAACAGGCGAGAGUGAAUGGCAAGAGGAGCAGGGCCAGGGGUUGGGAAGAGGACCUGUCUGAGCCAUCACUACCUCCAUUCCUCAUGGCUACAUCUGCCAGAGCCUCCUCCCACCUGUCUGAUGUUGCUGAGAUUUAUGUGGCUGUAUAGGAGGAGGCCAAUCCAGUGUGCCAGGCCAUGUGUAGGCUUCCUUUUAUACUGACAGUUGUGUGUAUGAUACUGGAGCUGGCUUCCAGUGAGGCUUGGCCCAGUGGAUCUGGAAUCUGUCAUAAGUGAAAGCUUGAAAAGGUUAGGACAGUUCAGAGGAGAUAAAUGGUGAAUUGGGAGGACAGCUGAUGUAGGAACACAAACACUUCAAGACGAUUGAGUGGACUGAGGCCCCUCGACUCACUGCGGUGGGCUCCUCGUACCUGCUUCAACCGCUCCAGAUGUGGGGAAGCAUCCAGCGCGCUCCACUAACAGACGUUUCUGACCAUUUGCAUGAGCCACUCUAUUACGCUCAUCAAAACAAAUGAUAAAGAAUGGUUAUUGGGCAUUCCCAGUGUCCUCUGUAUAAUAAAGCUCGUUAACUGCGUUGUACAAAACAAAUGGGCAGAAUAAUCAGUAUACUUAUUGACAUUGUGUCAUUUCUAGUUAGAGCAGGAAGAGAACUCUCACUGUGACUUGGGGCUUUGCUUUCUAUCUCUCAAGAGGAAGGGAGCUAAUGGCUUCUGAAAGCAGGGAUCGAAGGAACUCAUAAGCUCGGCGCGAUGAGACGAGCGGAGGAAGAGCGUUAUUAAUCCUCCUUCAUCUGAAUACAGACACUCUGUGCUGAGACCAGUGGCUGUGCACUCACUAACUGGAGAGGAGGAUGUCUGUAGUUUAUAUAGUUUAAGUUCUAGAAUCAGAAUUUAAGUUACAUACAUUUACAGAAUGUGUUUUUUUUCUACAGGAGACAGUUUAUUUAAAAAAACGGCUGCAAAUAAAUUUACUUGUUACUUUUUAUUGUUGAAUAAAGACAUUCAGCUGAAACAACCCAACAAUCAUUAAUUUAAAACAUCAUCAUCAUCAUCACUUCCACUGUUUAUCCUCUCAAUACCUGGAGCUUGAUCACCAUCUCAGAGUCUUGAACUUGGCCUCUGCUGCUUUGAAUACGACCCACGUUUCGCCCCCUGCUGUUUUUAUUUACUGUAAACCAUAAAUAAGAGCGUUCGCGUGCACUGUACGCGGCCUCGUGCGUCACAUCUGCUCCUCUCUGCUUAUUAAGACAUGAUUGACAGCUGUCGCGCCUCCAUCGCCGCGGACCGAGCUUUGUCAGGAAGCAGCUCGUGGACUGAGGACGCGCAGGUUUUCGCAGCCGACAGGCGGCUUACUGUACGGCUGCUGAGUGCACGGGGAGGCUUCACCUACAGGAGAGUGAUGCCUGUAAUCAGCCUUUGCAGAUGAAAUUACGUCUGUAUUAAUUUAAAUUACCUUCUGUCACUGUACACACACUGGGCUGUGUCUAGAGGCUUUUUCUUCUAUUAUUUGUAUGCAUUGCAUCUGUAUUGCGGCGUUUGAUCGCGGUUUUAUUGCUGCGAAUGCAAUGUAGCAUGAACAUAGUAAUGAUUAUUAACUCCAGCUACAUUAUUGGCAAAGGAGAUAACACAUACAAACCUGUAAUUUGUUCCUGCAUCAAGCUGGUUUUUAAUGAUCUACACUUUAUAAUUUAUUUACAGGUCCAUCUCUCACCGCUCGGCUCCGUUAGGUGUUUAUCAUCAUUUGUCAUCUGCAUCAAUCUGCCCGCCUGUAAAGAACCGUGCUGGGAGACUGAGCCUCUGCCGUUGACGCUGCUUUUGUGCCGCCGCCUUAACAACCCAAUCAACUCGGGCCUCUCUCGCUCCCCUCGUCAAUGCAAACUUCAUAAUGUAUGAUAGAGCCGUGAUUUAUAAUCCAUGCUCAAAAUUAAACAGCAUAAAUUACUCUUAUUUACUCUGCAGGUGAUAAAGAUCCCGUCAAAUAAUGUCACAUGAGCAUAAUUUUUAUAGAACAAAUGAAAUUUGUUAUGGGGGAAAAAAAACGGGUCAAGUUCAUCAAUUAAAAGUCGGCUCUUUUUUUUCUGCCUUCACUGUAAAUGGCCCGGUGCUACUUAAAAUGAUUGAUUUUAUUAUUUCUUAAUUUAUUAAAGUACUACAUGAGGCUAUAGCGUGAGCAAUCAGGACAACAGCAACUGACUCAGCAUCAACGCCUAGCGGCGCUUUGCAUUUCAGCGAGCUCCGACCGCAUCCAUUGGAAUCAACACUUCCUGUGACCUUUGGACCAACAUUUGGGAAACGACGGGUUAUGAGCUAAAAAAAAGAAGAAACAGUUUAAAGGAAAUAUUCUUGAAGCGCAGAUGUUAACUGCUUUCACAUCUGUCAAACCUUUGGGAAAUGACUUUGUGAAUAAUGUAUACAUGAGAGGGAAGUGGGACAAUUUCAAUAAACGUCUUGUCACCAACUUAAAUGAAGACAUAAAUGAAUAAAAUCAAUUCCCUUUUGCAACGAGUGUUAAUCGUUUGUUAUUUUUUUGCAUCCGUACCCGGAAGUGACCCGCUGUCGACGAUCAAGAGCCCGAAGGGUUAAAAUCGGUGCUGCUCGGAGUGCACCCCCUCCCCCCAACAAAAGAAAUGAGGU